RNAcentral lists this long non-coding RNA (382 nucleotides) under Capra hircus (goat). RNAcentral's name for it is "lncRNA (ENSCHIG00010009152.1)". The record is from RNAcentral. Lineage: Eukaryota; Metazoa; Chordata; Mammalia; Artiodactyla; Bovidae.
GCCACGCCGGGUGCGGGCGUGUACGUGCGUCCUCGGGCAGCACCCGGGCGCGCGAGGUUAUAGGUCUGUGCUCCCUGCCGCAGUCUGUGGGGAUGGCUAUGUGUGCAGAAAAGGCAGGCUAUAGUGAAGAAAGCGUAUUGUCCGGUUUUUUCAAAAGGAGCGGCUUCAUGUGAAAUUUGUGGGAAGGCUGCUAUUCAGAGUUUAAUGCCAUUAUGUAGUAGCCCCAUGAAAAUCCAGCAGGAAGAAUGUAGAUACUUCUAGAAGAUGCUGAAAACUAUUUGAAAAAUGAAGAAUUCAUAGACAUAAUUUCUCUAAAAUCAUCGAGUUGGAGAUUGAAUAAAUGGAUAAUUGAAUGAAUGGGUGAUUCAAAAUACAUCAUUAA